UUGGGUGCUGUAUGUAGAAUUUUGAGGAAAAAAAAAUUAAUUCAUCCAUUUUGGAAUAAGGCUGUAACAUAAAAUGUGGACAAAGUGAAGAGCUGUGAAUACUUUCUGGAUGCACUGUAAAUUGUUGCCAUGGCCCUGUGGGAGGAGAAGAGCAGUCAGAGGAAUGUAAAAGUGCAGAUACACACAGUUGGCACUCGUUCCCACUGUAUGCUAGAGGGAGUCAGCAGAAUCAACCACAGUCAGGGACACACUGAUCUGUGUGUGUGUAUAUAUUAUAUCUAUUACCUUUAUCUUGCAGCUGCUACUUUUCUACCAGGAACUAAGGUGUUAACAUCUAGGAAUCCAGAAUUUUUGGAUCAGAAUUUUUUUUUUUUUUUUUUAAACCCAGACCUAAAUGCAUUGUGUUUCUCCAACAUUAAAUGUAAAUUAUUUUUAAGGUGAGUAGUAAGAGUCCAGGUUUGAGAUCGGUGCGUUCCGAACCACAAGUUCAUCCACACCAACAUGUUCUGUACAACCAGACUCAUUGUAAUAAACUCUAGUAAAUAUCCCAGCGUUUGUUCAAAUCAUCAGGUGCUUCCAUUAAUAUAAAACAUUUUUCCCAUAAACUCUCCAUAAAAUAAAGUUGCUCUUAGUACAUGUCAGGACAAAAAUAUUAACAAAAUCUGAGUUAAAAACAAAAGCGAACACGGAACAAGAGCUAGAACUAGACUUUCCCUCCAAAUAGUGCAGGUUACAUAAAACACAUUCUGGGCAGUACUGCUGAACUCUGAUUAAAAAAAAAAAUAAUAAUAAUAAUAAAACCUGAACAAUCUGCAAUUAUCCUGAAUUAAUUUUGUAUAACAGACCAAACUUAAAGGAUAUUUAUGUUUUCCUUUUGUGAUUUUUUUUAACCCCUUAAUGCCCGAAUUUAUAUA
Thalassophryne amazonica is the source of this 914-nucleotide long non-coding RNA. RefSeq lists it as uncharacterized. The record is from RefSeq and is a predicted model, not a curated record. NCBI's taxonomy places the organism in Eukaryota, Metazoa, Chordata, Actinopteri, Batrachoidiformes, Batrachoididae. The transcript is spliced from 2 exons.